CCCUUAGAUGUUCUGGGCCGCACACGCGCUACACUGAAGGAGGCAGCGUGUACUCCUGGAUCGAAAGAUUUGGGUAACCCGCGAAUCUCCUUCGUGCUAGGGAUUGAGGUUUGCAAUUAUCCUUCAUGAACGAGGAAUUCCCAGUAAGUGCAAGUCAUAAGCUUGCGCUGACUACGUCCCUGCCCUUUGUACGCACCGCCCGUCGCUACUACCGAUUGAAUGAUUUAGUGAGGACUUCGGACUGGGACCGAUGCGGCUUUCGGGCUGCGUCGGUAUUCUGGAAAGAUGUCCAAACUGUNUNAUUUAGNGGAAGUAAAANUCGUANCA
RNAcentral lists this ribosomal RNA (327 nucleotides) under uncultured eukaryote. RNAcentral's name for it is "partial 18S ribosomal RNA". It matches the Rfam family "Eukaryotic small subunit ribosomal RNA", at positions 1470 to 1796 of the family's 1831-position model. The record is from RNAcentral.